AUUGAACGCUGGCGGCAGGCCUAACACAUGCAAGUCGAACGAGUGGCGGACGGGUGAGUAAUGUCUGGGAAACUGCCCGUUGGAGGGAGAUAACUACUGGAAACGGUAACUAAUACAGCAUACCAUCGGAUGGGGCCAGAUGGGAUUAGCUAGUAGGUGGGGUAACGGCUCACCUAGGCGACGAUCCCUAGCUGGUCUGAGAGUAUGACCACCCUAACUGGAACUAGGACACGGGCCAGACUCCUCCGGGAGGCUGCAGUGGUGAAUAUUGCACAUUGGCCACAAGCCUGAUGCAGCCCUGCCGCUUGGAUGAAUAGGGCUUUCGGGUUGUAAAGUACUUUCAGCGAGGAGGCGUUACUCGCAGAAGAAGCACCGGCUAACUCCGGGCCAGCAGCCGCGGGAAUUC
RNAcentral lists this ribosomal RNA (406 nucleotides) under uncultured bacterium. Its description in RNAcentral is "partial 16S ribosomal RNA". It matches the Rfam family "Bacterial small subunit ribosomal RNA", at positions 30 to 526 of the family's 1533-position model. The record is from RNAcentral.